RNAcentral lists this ribosomal RNA (468 nucleotides) under uncultured bacterium. RNAcentral's name for it is "partial 16S ribosomal RNA". It matches the Rfam family "Bacterial small subunit ribosomal RNA", at positions 28 to 507 of the family's 1533-position model. The record is from RNAcentral.
GACGAACGCUGGCGGCGUGCUUAACACAUGCAAGUCGAACGGAAAGGCCCUGCUUUUGUGGGGUGCUCGAGUGGCGAACGGGUGAGUAACACGUGAGUAACCUGCCCUUGCCUUUGGGAUAACUUCAGGAAACUGGGGCUAAUACCGGAUAGGCGCUCCUGCUGCAUGUUUGGGGUUGGAAAGUUUCGGCGGUUGGGGAUGGACUCGCGGCUUAUCAGCUUGUUGGUGGGGUAGUGGCUUACCAAGGCUUUGACGGGUAGCCGGCCUGAGAGGGAGACCGGCCACAUUGGGACUGAGGUAGGAGCCAGACUCCUACGGGGGGCAGCAGUGAGAAAUAGUGCACAAUGGGCGGAAGCCUGAUGCAGCAACGCCGGGUGCGGGAUGACGGCCUUCGGGUUGUAAACCGCGUUCGCCUGUAACGAAGCGUGAGUGACGGUAAUGGGUAAAGAAGCACCGGCUAACUACGUG